CUUAAGCGUAGUCCUGGCUUUCAGCGUAGGCAUAGCUAAUUGUUACUCAAGUGGUUAUAAAGUUCCAAACAUUUUUUUGUUUAUAUACAUAUAUAUAGAGAGAGAGAUACAUACAUACACCUAUGUAUAUGUAUACAUAAAUGAAACUGAGUUGGUGGAGUAAAAGACUUUUCUGCUUGUUGCAUAUACUCACGUAUCAGCAGACUCAUAUACAAGCUGAUCCAAACUGGGUGCCAAGCUGUGCCUUUUUUGUCGCCUGGAAUAUGCAAUCUGUGUGCCUCAGGUGUACCUUGUCUAUUAACUAUCUCUUACAUUGUGCCAUCCCACUAAUAUCAGUGGAUGUACCCAGCACCACCUUGAGGCUACAUAGAAUGUGGAAAUUUCUAGAUUAAUUCAUCAGGGAAGGCAACCAUGAAAUCCGAGGGCUGUGGACAACCAUCUACCAGAUGGUUGUUGCAGAUGCCUUUGGUCAUGUCAUUCGUCAUUUUAGCUUGCCCUUUCCUUUAUCUUGAGUUGAAUUUUUGUGUAGCGCUAUGUUUGCAGUGGUAACAUUGAGGCCAAGGUGUUUUUGAUUAAAAACGAUCGUAGCUGUAA
Long non-coding RNA from Oxyura jamaicensis (ruddy duck), 594 nucleotides. RefSeq lists it as uncharacterized. The transcript is spliced from 2 exons. NCBI's taxonomy places the organism in Eukaryota, Metazoa, Chordata, Aves, Anseriformes, Anatidae. The record is from RefSeq and is a predicted model, not a curated record.